RNAcentral lists this ribosomal RNA (467 nucleotides) under uncultured bacterium. RNAcentral's name for it is "partial 16S ribosomal RNA". It matches the Rfam family "Bacterial small subunit ribosomal RNA", at positions 33 to 470 of the family's 1533-position model. The record is from RNAcentral.
UCUNANACGUNGGCACGUGGNUUAGGCAUGCANGUCGAACGGGAAGCCGUUGAUCAAUUCUUCGGAAGAGUGAAGCGGUGGAGAGUGGCGAAAGGGUGAGUAACGCGUGUAUAACCUACCUUUAAGUUGGGGAUAGCUCGCUGAAAAGCGGGAUAAUACCGAAUGUGAUCCUCUCACGCAUGUGAGGGUGAUCAAAGAUGGGGACCCUUCGGGGCCUGUCGCUUGAAGAGGGGUACGCGUCCUAUCAGCUUGUUGGUGAGGUAACGGCUCACCAAGGCUUACGGGUAGCUUGGUCUGAGAGGAUGAUCANUCACACUGGGACUGANACACUGCCCANACUCCUACGGGAGGCUGCANUCNAGGAUCAUUCCAAUGCCGAAAGCGUGACAAUGCNACNCUGCNUGAANGAUACACCUUCNGNUUGUAACUCCUGUCUNAAGGAAUAAANGUUCAUAUCAUNANGUUUA